Molecule: transfer RNA, 76 nt
Filed under: Myxococcaceae bacterium
Lineage: Bacteria; Pseudomonadati; Myxococcota; Myxococcia; Myxococcales; Myxococcaceae
Description: tRNA-Asn
Rfam family: tRNA
About the family: Transfer RNA (tRNA) molecules are approximately 80 nucleotides in length. Their secondary structure includes four short double-helical elements and three loops (D, anti-codon, and T loops).
Source: RNAcentral
UCCGUCGUCGCUCAGUGGCCGAGCAGCUGAUUGUUAAUCAGCCAUCACGCAGGUUCGAAUCCUGCCGACGGAGCCA